This 602-nucleotide ribosomal RNA is filed under the name uncultured Enterococcus sp. RNAcentral's name for it is "bacterial LSU rRNA". It matches the Rfam family "Bacterial large subunit ribosomal RNA", at positions 243 to 849 of the family's 2925-position model. The record is from RNAcentral. Lineage: Bacteria; Bacillati; Bacillota; Bacilli; Lactobacillales; Enterococcaceae.
GUAGCGGCGAGCGGAACGGGAAAAGCACAAACCAAAGAGCUUGCUCUUUGGGGUUGUAGGACUGGGACAUGAUGACUGCAAUGGAUAGCAGAGGCAACUGGAAAGUUGCGCAACAUAGGGUAAUAGCCCCGUAUGCGAAAUCCAAAUCAGCUCUACCAGUAUCCUGAGUACGGCGGAACACGAGAAAUUCCGUCGGAAUCUGGGAGGACCAUCUCCCAAGGCUAAAUACUCCCUAGUGACCGAUAGUGAACCAGUACCGUGAGGGAAAGGUGAAAAGCACCCCGGAAGGGGAGUGAGACAGUACCUGAAACCGUGUGCCUACAAGUAGUCAAAGCCCGUUAAUGGGUGAUGGCGUACCCUUUGUAGAAUGGACCGGCGAGUUACGAUUUCAUGCAAGGCUAAGUUGAAAGGACGGAGCCGCAGCGAAAGCGGGUCUGAAUAGGGCGAAUAAGUAUGAGGUCGUAGACCCGAAACCAAGUGACCUACCCAUGUCCAGGUUGAAGGUGCGGUAAUACGCACUGGAGGACCGAACCCGCGCACGUUGAAAAGUGCGGGGAUGAGGUGUGGGUAGCGGAGAAAUUCCAAUCGAACUUGGAGAUAGC